CGGAGCCAGCCCCACCCCACCCCUACUUCACAGCACAACUGAUCAGGCGAGCUGACUUCUCACCUGAUCAGUUGUGCUGUCUUCUGCCCCACCCCCAAACCCAACAAACCCCAGCCCAGCCCAGCCACACAUCUCCAUCACAGCUGAUCAGCAGCAGUCUGGAAGAAUCACACCCAUCAGAUUGACAUGUGAUAGCUACACGUUUGCUGACUGGUUUUUCCUCAUGUCUGCAGGUUCCAUCAACCCCCCUCCAUAAGCUGUCCCCCCCCCCUCUCCUUGUGGGGGACAGCACAAUGGAGCCUGCCCCCCCCCCCCACCUACUUCACAGCUGAUCAGCAGCAGUCUGGAAGAAUCACACCCAUCAGAUUGACAUGUGAUAGCUACAUGUUUGCUGACUGGUUUUUCCUCAUGUCUGCAGGUUCCAUCAACCCCCCUCCAUACUCUCCCCGGGGGGGGGGGCGACAGCACAACGGAGCCUGCCCCA
Molecule: long non-coding RNA, 484 nt
Organism: Oreochromis niloticus (Nile tilapia)
Lineage: Eukaryota; Metazoa; Chordata; Actinopteri; Cichliformes; Cichlidae
Exons: 5
Source: RefSeq, a predicted model, not a curated record